This 467-nucleotide ribosomal RNA is filed under the name uncultured bacterium. Its description in RNAcentral is "partial 16S ribosomal RNA". It matches the Rfam family "Bacterial small subunit ribosomal RNA", at positions 28 to 507 of the family's 1533-position model. The record is from RNAcentral.
GACGAACGCUGGCGGCGUGCUUAACACAUGCAAGUCGAACGGAAAGGCCCUGCUUUUGUGGGGUGCUCGAGUGGCGAACGGGUGAGUAACACGUGAGUAACCUGCCCUUGACUUUGGGAUAACUUCAGGAAACUGGGGCUAAUACCGGAUAGGAGCUCCUGCUGCAUGGUGGGGGUUGGAAAGUUUCGGCGGUUGGGGAUGGACUCGCGGCUUAUCAGCUUGUUGGUGGGGUAGUGGCUUACCAAGGCUUUGACGGUAGCCGGCCUGAGAGGGUGACCGGCCACAUUGGGACUGAGAUACGGCCCAGACUCCUACGGGAGGCGGCAGUGGGGAAUAUUGCACAAUGGGCGGAAGCCUGAUGCAGCAACGCCGCGUGCGGGAUGACGGCCUUCGGGUUGUAAACCGCUUUCGCCUGUGACGAAGCGUGAGUGACGGUAAUGGGUAAAGAAGCACCGGCUAACUACGUG